Molecule: long non-coding RNA, 2433 nt
Filed under: Equus asinus (donkey)
Lineage: Eukaryota; Metazoa; Chordata; Mammalia; Perissodactyla; Equidae
Description: lncRNA (ENSEASG00005027045.1)
Source: RNAcentral
GUGGGUGGCCAAAUGACGCAGCAGGACACGUGGACCAGACUUUUCUCAUAGGCAUCUUUCCAACCUUUCACCCUCCUCAGUUUGGGGACUGGAGCGACAUUUGAAGCAGGCUCUCUAGAAAGGAAGAUGGCAAGAUCCGAGAAGCAGAGGCUCUUUGAGCCCUCUGACAGAUUAGCCAUCCUGCCCCUGAUACUUAGACUAGUCUAUGGACCCUGGGAAGGCAGGGGGAUGCCUCACCCACAUCUGCCCUCAUGAGGGCGCUCACGGGGAACAGCUCAGAUCUGCCUGGCGAUGGAAGCAAAAGCAUUCAUCACAAAGUUAACCAGUCACUCAGCUAUCUGCUUUCCUCCUGCUUAGUAUCUCUGGGACUAUGACCAGGCUUUAAAGGUAACUUUUCCAUCCAUCCAGCAAGUGAAGCGCUAGGAAGCCUCUGCCUCUGGGAGAGGGUUCGUGAGCUCUGGUGGAAAGUACUAAUGCUCCCUGCAAGGCCCAUCAGAGGGUUGACCUUCUGAAACUGGCAAACAGCCAUUGAUGAUUAAGGAUCUAAGCACUAAAGUUUUUUCCUUUUUGCAAUGACUGAUGAUAGCUUUUAGCUGUUUAACCCACCCAUUGUUAACUGUGCUGUUUAGGCAAUAUGCUACCUGACUCCCACUAGGCUCUUAUGGAUAACAUCUUCCUGGAGCCUGGGUCACCAAGGUAAUGGGUGCUUGAGCUGUUUUUCAGGAAUUAGAACUCCUUGUCCACUCCAGGCCAAUUGGGACCACCAACUCAUCAACUGGGUACACACAGGUGUCCAAUAGGCGACCUUUUGACAUCAAGAGGCUAAAAACUUCACCCUCAGAUCAUGCUAAUGCCGCCAUUUUGUGAACGUGGGUCCUGUGAAGAGGCAUGGAGUCUGACUACGCUUGCGCAGAUCAUCAAUUACCUCACCUCCAAUCACCUCUCCUCACAUUUCAGACCACCUUGCCCCCUACCCCAUAAAUAUCCCUGAGUCCCUAUUUUCGGGGAAGCGAAUUUGAGACUCAUGCUCUUGCUUCCUCGCAUGGCUGCCUUGUAAGUAAACUCUCUCUCUGCUGCAAUCUGGCUGUCUCAGUGUUUGGCUUUCUGGGCAGCAGGCAAAAACAAACCUGGUUUGGUAACACUUCUUGUUCAUUUUCUUCUGCUUUCCAUGGGACUUGCCCCAAGCCCCAUACCCACUGCAAUGACCUUGCUGAAAAGAGCUCAGGCACCGUGGAAAGUCUGGGGUGAAUUGGAUCCUUUAAGAGCUCCUACACCAAAGUCCUUGAAAUGUUGACAUUCUUUACACCUGAACCCACUAAAUUCCCCACCAGGGAAGCACAACAAAGUAUUGACUCGUGAGCCUCUAGGUUGCUAACCCCAUGGAAGUCCUGAAUUGAAAACAUUAGUAGAUUUACCUUAAUAAAAUGGCACAUGCAUUUCUUUCUGUGACUUUUCUCCUGAGCAAAUGCAAGUAGGCCCAGAGUACAUUUCUCUUUGCGCUUGAACCCAUGCCUCUGGGUGAAAUACUUACUGGCUAACAUUUGUGGACUGCUUACACUGUGCCCAGCACUGUGUAGUUGUUUAAAUCUCUGUGUCUAGUGCUUGGGUCUUAAAGCUUCAAGCUUCUAUCCUCUCCCUGCAGACUUGGUCUUGAUGGAACUUUAGAUUCGGGAGGAGCCCUGCGAGAUCAUCCUGUCUGGUUUCACAGAAAGGAAAUCAAGGUCCUGGGAGCCACAAAGUCACACUGCUUCAUACUGAGAGAAGCCAAGCGUCUCAGGCUUUUCUAAGUGACAGCACUUGUCGUCAUAUGGCCAAAAAGGUAAGCCUGAGCCUGAGGCUACUGUCUUGAGAAAGUUAGUCUCCAAGAGGAGGCUGGAAAUUAAAUGGGGCAACCUGGAGACACUGGCUCCCUGAGGAAAGAAAGAGUCAGAAAGAGGGAGAAAGGCGUAAAAGAAAAAGGGGAAAGUCAGUAAAAUCACUCCACGAGCCCUGGCAGGCCAGUCAGGAUCAGCUCUCAUCAAAAGGAAACAAACAACAAAUGCAGCCGCUCCAAAUAAAGCAUCCAGCCCGCAUCCCGCCAUCAAACCACACCCUCAUCCCAGCAAACAGAGGAAACGUCCACUUUGGAAAUUAAUUCUUCUCCACAGACUUCACAUAACAAAUUCCUCUCCUGGGCAAUCAUGCAAGAUCUUGCAAGGAACUUUUUUUAAUUAUAAGGAAAGGGUGACUCCCCUAUCAAUAAAAUCCUGCGUCAAUUAGUACAAUUAUCAUUUGGGUUAUUAUUUCAAGUGUUCGAAAUUUCUACUUAAAUAAGGUCACUUCCAAUUUGGUAAACACUCCUAAGUCAUCAUCUUAAUUCACGGCCAGUCGCCCUAGGAAUGCUGAGUAAGUAAACAAAAUCAAGCAUUAGCUAACCAGCCACAAAUCCACUUG